RNAcentral lists this ribosomal RNA (645 nucleotides) under Triticum aestivum (bread wheat). Its description in RNAcentral is "partial small subunit ribosomal RNA". The record is from RNAcentral. Lineage: Eukaryota; Viridiplantae; Streptophyta; Magnoliopsida; Poales; Poaceae.
AUGUCUACUUGCCUCACGGACAUAAUAUGUGCCAAUGAGGUAGAUUUUAUUGGGUUACAAGAGACUAUGAAGGGAUCUUAUAAAUACUCCUUUUUUAGGAAGAUAGACCCAUAUUAGAAAUUUCAUUGGGAAUGGGUUCCCUCGAGGGGGAAGUCGGGAGGUAUUCUGUGUGGCAUCAAUAAAGAUAAAUUUGAUGUUCUCGGAUCUAAACAGGGACAAUACAUCCUGCAAAUGGACUUGUUUGAUAAAAACAAGAAAUGUAGUUGGUCUCUUCUAAUAGUAUAUGGUGCUGCUCAUGAUGAGCAUAAACCUGAAUUCAUCGCAGAAUUAUCCUCAUUGUGUCAUAAUAUCAAAAGACCAUAUUUGGUGGGGGGGGACUUCAAUAUUAUUCGCCACAAUGGUGAGAAAAACAAAAAAACACCCCUAUCUCAUUUUUCAGAUGUUUUUAACUCUGUUAUCCACCUGCUUGGUUUAAGAGAAAUUCACAUGGCUGGGGGGUGCUAUACGUGGUCCAAUAAGCAGGAAAACCCAACCCUUGAAAAAUUGGAUAGAGUGCUGAUGUCUCCGGAGUGGGAAGACUUAUUUCCCCUCGCUUCGGUGAGCAAGCUAGUUAAGGAAUUAUCUGACCACAAUCCCCUACUAUUG